AUUGAACGCUGGCGGCAGGCCUAACACAUGCAAGUCGAACGGUAACAGGAAGAAGCUUGCUUCUUUGCUGACGAGUGGCGGACGGGUGAGUAAUGUCUGGGAAACUGCCUGAUGGAGGGGGAUAACUACUGGAAACGGUAGCUAAUACCGCAUAACGUCGCAAGACCAAAGAGGGGGACCUUCGGGCCUCUUGCCAUCGGAUGUGCCCAGAUGGGAUUAGCUAGUAGGUGGGGUAACGGCUCACCUAGGCGACGAUCCCUAGCUGGUCUGAGAGGAUGACCAGCCACACUGGAACUGAGACACGGUCCAGACUCCUACGGGAGGCAGCAGUGGGGAAUAUUGCACAAUGGGCGCACGCCUGAUGCAGCCAUGCCGCGUGUAUGAAGAAGGCCUUCGGGUUGUAAAGUACUUUCAGCGGGGAGGAAGGGAGUAAAGUUAAUACCUUUGCUCAUUGACGUUACCCGCAGAAGAAGCACCGGCUAACUCCGUG
RNAcentral lists this ribosomal RNA (490 nucleotides) under uncultured bacterium. RNAcentral describes it as "partial 16S ribosomal RNA". It matches the Rfam family "Bacterial small subunit ribosomal RNA", at positions 30 to 507 of the family's 1533-position model. The record is from RNAcentral.